RNAcentral lists this ribosomal RNA (253 nucleotides) under uncultured bacterium. RNAcentral's name for it is "partial 16S ribosomal RNA". It matches the Rfam family "Bacterial small subunit ribosomal RNA", at positions 524 to 776 of the family's 1533-position model. The record is from RNAcentral.
UACGAAGGGGGCUAGCGUUGCUCGGAAUUACUGGGCGUAAAGCGCGCGCAGGCGGUCCUUUAAGUCAGGGGUGAAAGCCCAGAGCUCAACUCUGGAACUGCCUUUGAAACUAGAGGACUUGGGUACGGGAGAGGUGAGUGGAAUUCCGAGUGUAGAGGUGAAAUUCGUAGAUAUUCGGAAGAACACCAGUGGCGAAGGCGGCAUCCUGGACCAAUUCUGACGCUGAGGAGCGAAAGCCAGGGGAGCAAACGGG